Molecule: long non-coding RNA, 2055 nt
Organism: Papio anubis (olive baboon)
Lineage: Eukaryota; Metazoa; Chordata; Mammalia; Primates; Cercopithecidae
Source: Ensembl
AGACGGGAUUUCACCAUGUUCGCCGGGAUGGUCUCGAUCUCCUGACCUCGUGAUCCGCCCGUCUCGGCCUCCCAAAGUGCUGGGAUUACAGGCUUGAGCCACCGCGCCCGGCCUCAUUUAAUAAUUCUGGACUUUGGAUGAGAGCAGCAACAUGGAUGAAACUGGAGACAUUGUCCUAAGUGAAAUACUCAGAAACACAAGAUCAAGUACUGCAUGUUCUUAUGGAGUUUCACUCUUAUUGCCCAGGCUGGAGUGCAAUGGCAGGAUCUCGUCUUACUGCAACCUCUGCUUCCUGGAUUCAAGCGAUUCUCCUACAUCAGCCUCCUAAGUAGCUGAGAUUAUAGGCAUGUGCCACCUUGGCACAUAGGAUUUUUCAGUGCUACUCCAAGUAAGUUAUUGAUAAUUUUGUACUUUUUGUAGAGACGGGGUUUCUCCAUGUUGGUCAGGCUGGUCUCGAACUCUCAACCUCAGGUAAUUCUGCCACCUCGGCCUCCCAAAGUGCUGGGAUUACAGGUGUGAACCACCGUGCCCGGCCAUGUUUCUUGUUUCUAAGGCCUAAGAGUUUCUUUCAUUAAAAAUGAUGGAACCGUGAACAGCAACGGUUUCCCUUAAACGGACUAUCUAGAGACCCAAAGAUGCUUGAUAGAGUUUCAAUAGUUACCAAAAUGUAGUCUAAUAACAAUGGUAAUUGAUGCUGUCUACAGAUUCAGGUAUUUCCCCACUGAUUUCAGCAAUUUCUGUGACCUUGUAGUCUUCAUUUAAUUUUUGCUUAGCACUGCCCAUUCACAUGUCACAUUGGAUAUAUACUAGUAUAAAAACAAGAGAAUAAUAAACAUAUAAAUUACUUUCUACCUAUAAUUUUAGAAAUAAUGUGAGGUCUUCAGCCAAGCACAUGAAGCUCAUUAUAUAAAAGUGUGUACUUUUAAUAACUGUGAUUUUAGAAAUAUAGAAUUGAAUUACAUUGCAGCUUGCAAAAUGAGAAAUUUCCAGUGAAACACGGUUGUGUCUAUGCUUAUGUGCAUAUGUAUACACGCACUUGUAAGUAUUAAGAAAGAAUACAUUAGAGGUCUAUCCUUACCAUGACAGUACAUAAGCUUUGUCGGUGUUAUUUCUGAAGUUGGGAGUUUUCAGUGCCACUCCCGAAUGAGUUAUUGAGAAGACACACAAUGAAAACAAUAGAACACAGUUUCUGAAGAGGCCUAUUCUUCACGGCUGGUAUGUUUUGAAUGUUUAUCCUGUUUGGAGGUGGGAAUUGGUGGGAGGUGAUUGCAUCACGGUGGGGGCGGAUCCCUACAAAUGGCUUGGCACCAUCCCUUUGGUGAUGAGUGAGUUCUUGCUCAGUUCAUGCGAGAUCUGAUUGUUUCAACUGUCUGGAACUUCCCCCUUCUCUCUUCUGCUCCUUUUCUUACCAUGUGAUGUGUAGUCUGCUCCUCUUUGCCUUCUGCUGUCAUUGUAAGCUCCCUGAGGCCCUCACCAGAAGCAGAUGCUGGCAUCAUGCUUCCUGUGCAGUCUGCAGAACUGUGAACCAAUUAAACUGCUUUUCCUUGUAAAUUACCCAAUCUGAGAUACUCCUCUGUAGUGAUACAAAAGCAGCCUAAUCCAAGGGUCUGUUCCAGGGGUGAAAAAUUUGAUGGAAUAGAAAAUGAAAACACAGAGCUCAUUUGUAAAAUGUUGCACCACGUCUCAGACACUAGCGAUGAUGGAUAAUUUUGUGAGUCAACUUGACUGGGCUAAGAAAGUUUCCCAAAUAAAGUCAGGCUCCACUCAAAGCGUAAGAUAAUAUGCACAAUUCAGAGGAGACUAGUAUACAAUUUUAAGUUCAUGGUUAAAGCCAUGGGCAGAAAACAAGAAACAACAUGUUGAUCAGGAUGCUAAGGUAAGCAGCAUACUAGUAGUCAAAUCGAACACAGUGUAUUGGUCCACAGCCUGGUUUUAAAACCCAAGACUCUGAAUAUCUAUCUUCAGUAGCUCACAGAGUUCUCUGACUUGUACAAUUGGACAUCCCUAUGACUACUAAAUUUUGCCUCUAUGCUAUUUUGUUAUUUAUGUCAGAAU